GUGUGAUGAAAGAUAAUGUGUGGAAGUGUGCUGAAAGGCAAGGUAAAGGCCGCACAGGGGAAGGCUGCUGAGAGACCACUGUACAGUCUGAGGCCUGGCAAAUUUCGUGGUGAUCAGGGACCUGAGGAGAAAGAGCUGGAGAGCAAAGCGCUGGUUGGGUCCAUUUCAAGUGCUACUGACCACUGAGACAUCGGU
Non-coding RNA from Danio rerio (zebrafish), 195 nucleotides. The record is from Ensembl. NCBI's taxonomy places the organism in Eukaryota, Metazoa, Chordata, Actinopteri, Cypriniformes, Danionidae.